GGAAGAAUUGAAUCGUUUGAAUGUUUAUUUAAUCAAACGCUAUGCCUGCGCAACGAAUCAUUUGACCGAUUCAGUUCACGUUAUUUGUUCCUCCAUGUAUUUGAUCUCUAAUGUUGAAAUAGAGACUCCAUUGUCCAUUAUAUUCACAGUGAGCAAAAUAAACCAUGAGUGAAAUCACAGAAAUCAAAUAUCUGAAAUGAUUUAAAAGUUUAAACAUUUUCUUUUCCGCUCAGGAAUCAUCUUGAAAGACUCAUUUGCCGGAGCGACUCUUUCUCUCCGAAUCUACAGGUUCUUGUCCGUUUUAAACUCAUGACUUCACUCACUAUUUAAUUUACAAUCCACCUCAUAUGCUUUGAAACACAGACUGCUUUCCCUCUGUACAGCUGAACAUAAAACUGUUCACACAAACCUGUUGCUGACUUUCAGUUCAAGCGCUUGUUUAACGCCGGACCUUAAAGCAAAUGAUCGAUUUCAUGAAUUAAAGGAUUUUAAAAGACUUCAGAAGAUGGCAGAUUGUUGUUUUCUCUUUUUCCUCAAUCAGGGUUUCUGCGGGGUCUUAAAAUGUCUUAAACCUC
This 575-nucleotide long non-coding RNA is filed under the name Danio rerio (zebrafish). RNAcentral's name for it is "lncRNA si:ch1073-154p7.1 (ENSDARG00000101048.2)". Lineage: Eukaryota; Metazoa; Chordata; Actinopteri; Cypriniformes; Danionidae. The record is from RNAcentral.